Molecule: ribosomal RNA, 420 nt
Filed under: uncultured bacterium
Lineage: Bacteria
Description: bacterial SSU rRNA
Rfam family: Bacterial small subunit ribosomal RNA
Source: RNAcentral
AAGGAAUAUUGGACAAUGCCCGCAAGGGUGAUCCAGCCAUCCCGCGUGCAGGAAGACGGCCCUAUGGGUUGUAAACUGCUUUUAUCAGGGAAGAAACCCCUUGACUUGUUGAGGGUUGACGGUACCUGAUGAAUAAGCACCGGCUAACUCCGUGCCAGCAGCCGCGGUAAUACGGAGGGUGCAAGCGUUAUCCGGAAUCACUGGGUUUAAAGGGUGCGUAGGCGGCUAUAUAAGUCAGAGGUGAAAGGCUACGGCUUAACUGUGGGAUUGCCUUUGAUACUGUAUAGCUGGAAUCAGGUUGAAGUUAGUGGAAUGCGGCAUGUAGCGGUGAAAUGCAUAGAUAUGUCGUAGAACACCGAUUGCGAAGGCAGCUAACUGGGCUUGAAUUGACGCUGAGGCACGAAAGCGUGGGGAUCGAAC